AUUGAACGCUGGCGGCAUGCUUUACACAUGCAAGUCGAACGGCAGCACGGACUUCGGUCUGGUGGCGAGUGGCGAACGGGUGAGUAAUACAUCGGAACGUACCCAGUAAUGGGGGAUAACUAUCCGAAAGGAUAGCUAAUACCGCAUACGCCCUACGGGGGAAAGAGGGGGAUCGCAAGACCUCUUGUUAUUGGAGCGGCCGAUGGCUGAUUAGCUAGUUGGUGAGGUAAAGGCUCACCAAGGCGACGAUCAGUAGCGGGUCUUAGAGGACAAUCCGCCACACUGGAACUGCGACACGGUCCAGACUCCUACGGGAGGCAGCAGUGGGGAAUCUUGGACAAUGGGCGCAAGCCUGAUCCAGCAAUGCCGCGUGCGUGAAGAAGGCCUUCGGGUUGUAAAGCGCUUUUGUCAGGGAGCAAAUCCUUGUGGCUAAUACCCACCGGGGAUGAGAGUGCCUGAAGAAUAAGGACCGGCUAACUACGUGCCAGCAGCCGCCGUAA
Molecule: ribosomal RNA, 500 nt
Filed under: uncultured bacterium
Lineage: Bacteria
Description: partial 16S ribosomal RNA
Rfam family: Bacterial small subunit ribosomal RNA
Source: RNAcentral